Molecule: long non-coding RNA, 1453 nt
Organism: Mytilus californianus (California mussel)
Lineage: Eukaryota; Metazoa; Mollusca; Bivalvia; Mytilida; Mytilidae
Exons: 6
Source: RefSeq, a predicted model, not a curated record
UUUGUUUUUGUUUGAGCCAAUCAGAUCACGUUGAUACUUGAUAUUCCACCUAAGAAUUAAACAGUCGGUUCCUGAGUACAGACGAGGUAUCUUAGUUACUGGCUUAAAGAUACAGCACAGAGGCCGUACUGACCAUGGAGGACAUAACUAUGAUGUUGUCCUUACUCUAAAGACAAAACAUGUGGAAUUUGAAACAAAUCUUUCCGUUACAUGUAUAGUAGAGCAUGAAUGUACGGUGAACUCGUGGUCGGUAAAGGAACAAAACGGAACAUACGAAACUAUAGUCAGAGAGUCAACACCAUUCAACAGAACAAAGUAUGGAGCACAACUGAGUAAAAUGGAAAGAAGGACCAUUUAUAUAUUGAUUAUUUAUCGUUUGGAAAAAAAUGAUGUACAUAAUGACUACCGCUGCGAUUGCGAUACUCACUCCGGAUACAUAACUGACAUGCAUGACAAACUUAUAUUUAAAAAGGAUACAAAGGGAACCAAAGAUUCAUCUCGUAAUAAUGUAGGACAUAUCUUGUUGGUUAUUGGUGGAAUAGUGAUUUUGUCAAUAAUAGUUUUUUUCUUAUACAAGCUGCUUAAGAAACGGAACAAGCAUUGAAGAAAGUUUAAAAUCUGAUGAUGUAGCUACAGGAAUGGAAUAAUGACAUUAAAAAGAAACAAAUUGAAGAGUUUAGUGACUAAUCAACAGAUACAUUUACAUUUUAAAGUGUGUGUGUUAAAAUUCAUUAUGUCAAUGUUUUUGGGCUGUUGCGAUUUUUUGUUACCUUUAUAGACAUAUGUUGGUGAUGAUUGUAUAAAAAAAUAUCCUUUUUUUUUCUCUGAGAAAAAUCGAACAUCUGUUUGAGGUGUGAAAAGAUUUUUUUUCAUUGGAAUGUCUAGAAUGGUAGUUGAUAAAAUCAUCAUAGACACCAAGAUUAAAAUGUUGUACGCCAGACGCGCGAUUCGUCUUCGAAGCCACACAGGUGUAUUUGCAUAAUAGCUAUAUAACACCAACUGAUCAUAUAAAAAAAGUAUAAAAAAACGAACUCAAAAGUAAAUUCAAGAAGGGAAAGUCAAUCAAAACUGACAUAAUGUUUCGCUUGUGUCAAAUUUUUAUGGAUUUUAUAUUGUAUUUUAAUGCAUUUUCAAACACAUUAAACAUUACUAGUAUUCAAAAUGUUCAAUAGUGUUUAACAUCAUUUAUUUACUUAGUUCUCCCUUCUUGUGAAUUCUACAAUCUUUAUGAUUUUAUAGUUCAGCCAGCCCAGCAGUGAUUAUUUCUUCAAAUUUUUACAAGAUAUCCAGAUUUUGAUAUUGACACUUCACAUAAGGUCAUAGAGUUGUUUUUCUCAUAUAUUUUUAUCUUCAUGUAUAUAUUGAACGGUCAAGUAUAACACCUUUCUAUUAACACAAUAUUUAAUGGGUUUCAAAUAAUGUGGUGUUAAGAAUAAAAAGCACUAUCAAUCUU